UGGCAAUGAGGAUACAUUUUUUUUAAAUGAUUAAACAGUGAUUGUUUUAUACGCUAUUCUGAGCCGACU
Small nucleolar RNA from Spea bombifrons (plains spadefoot toad), 69 nucleotides. RefSeq annotates it as small nucleolar RNA U54. NCBI's taxonomy places the organism in Eukaryota, Metazoa, Chordata, Amphibia, Anura, Pelobatidae. The transcript has a single exon. The record is from RefSeq and is a predicted model, not a curated record.